GACGAACGCUGGCGGCGUGCUUAACACAUGCAAGUCGAACGGAAAGGCCCUGCUUUUGUGGGGUGCUCGAGUGGCGAACGGGUGAGUAACACGUGAGUAACCUGCCCUUGACUUUGGGAUAACUUCAGGAAACUGGGGCUAAUACCGGAUAGGAGCUCCUGCUGCAUGGUGGGGGUUGGAAAGUUUCGGCGGUUGGGGAUGGACUCGCGGCUUAUCAGCUUGUUGGUGGGGUAGUGGCUUACCAAGGCUUUGACGGGUAGCCGGCCUGAGAGGGUGACCGGCCACAUUGGGACUGAGAUACGGCCCAGACUCCUACGGGAGGCAGCAGUGGGGAAUAUUGCACAAUGGGCGGAAGCCUGAUGCAGCAACGCCGCGUGCGGGAUGACGGCCUUCGGGUUGUAAACCGCUUUCGCCUGUGACGAAGCGUGAGUGACGGUAAUGGGUAAAGAAGCACCGGCUAACUACGUGCCAGCAGCCGCGGUGAUACGUAGGGUGCGAGCGUUGUCCGGAUUUAUUGGGCGUAAAGGGCUCGUAGGUGGUUGAUCGCGUCGGAAGUGUAAUCUCGGGGCUUAACCCUGAGCGUGCUUUCGAUACGGGUUGACUUGAGGAAGGUAGGGGAGAAUGGAAUUCCUGGUGGAGCGGUGGAAUGCGCAGAUAUCAGGAGGAACACCAGUGGCGAAGGCGGUUCUCUGGGCCUUUCCUGACGCUGAGGAGCGAAAGCGUGGGGAGCGAACAGGCUUAGAUACCCUGGUAGUCCACGCUGUAAACGGUGGGUACUAGGUGUGGGGUCCAUUCCACGGGUUCCGUGCCGUAGCUAACGCUUUAAGUACCCCGCCUGGGGAGUACGGCCGCAAGGCUAAAGCUCAAAGGAAUUGACGGGGCCCCGCACAAGCGGCGGAGCAUGCGGAUUAAUUCGAUGCAACGCGUAGAACCUUACCUGGGUUUGACAUGGAUCGGGAGUGCUCAGAGAUGGGUGUGCCUCUUUUGGGGUCGGUUCACAGGUGGUGCAUGGCUGUCGUCAGCUCGUGUCGUGAGAUGUUGGGUUAAGUCCCGCAACGAGCGCAACCCUUGUUCACUGUUGCCAGCACGUUAUGGUGGGGACUCAGUGGAGACCGCCGGGGUCAACUCGGAGGAAGGUGGGGAUGACGUCAAGUCAUCAUGCCCCUUAUGUCCAGGGCUUCACGCAUGCUACAAUGGCUGGUACAGAGAGUGGCGAGCCUGUGAGGGUGAGCGAAUCUCGGAAAGCCGGUCUCAGUUCGGAUUGGGGUCUGCAACUCGACCUCAUGAAGUCGGAGUCGCUAGUAAUCGCAGAUCAGCAACGCUGCGGUGAAUACGUUCCCGGGGCU
This 1346-nucleotide ribosomal RNA is filed under the name uncultured bacterium. RNAcentral's name for it is "partial 16S ribosomal RNA". It matches the Rfam family "Bacterial small subunit ribosomal RNA", at positions 28 to 1381 of the family's 1533-position model. The record is from RNAcentral.